RNAcentral lists this ribosomal RNA (290 nucleotides) under uncultured bacterium. RNAcentral's name for it is "partial 16S ribosomal RNA". It matches the Rfam family "Bacterial small subunit ribosomal RNA", at positions 333 to 640 of the family's 1533-position model. The record is from RNAcentral.
GGCACCCUACGGGGGGCAGCAGUGGGGAAUAUUGCACAAUGGGGGAAACCCUGAUGCAGCGACGCCGCGUGAGUGAAGAAGUAUUUCGGUAUGUAAAGCUCUAUCAGCAGGGAAGAUAAUGACGGUACCUGAGUAAGAAGCCCCGGCUAACUACGUGCCAGCAGCCGCGGUAAUACGUAGGGGGCAAGCGUUAUCCGGAUUUACUGGGUGUAAAGGGAGCGUAGACGGCUGUGCAAGUCUGAAGUGAAAUGCCGGGGCUCAACCCCGGAACUGCUUUGGAAACUGUACAG